Chlorocebus sabaeus (green monkey) is the source of this 179-nucleotide small nucleolar RNA. Its record names the gene SNORA73. It matches the Rfam family "Small nucleolar RNA SNORA73 family". Rfam says of the family: U17 (SNORA73A and SNORA73B) also known as E1 belongs to the H/ACA class of small nucleolar RNAs (snoRNAs). Lineage: Eukaryota; Metazoa; Chordata; Mammalia; Primates; Cercopithecidae. The record is from Ensembl.
CCAUGUGGGUGACUGGUGGGGUCCCCUGGUGGCUUCCCGGUGCAUUGGUGUAGAGUCCUGUCCCACAACAUUGGAGAGGAGCUUGUCCCUGGUUAUAAGACUUCUACGGACAUGUCGUGCGUAUUCCUUAUCUUCUGAGUACUUAGUUGCUGAGGAGAAAGACCAUACAGGGCACAAUU